Molecule: ribosomal RNA, 253 nt
Filed under: uncultured bacterium
Lineage: Bacteria
Description: partial 16S ribosomal RNA
Rfam family: Bacterial small subunit ribosomal RNA
Source: RNAcentral
UACAGAGGGUGCGAGCGUUGUUCGGAAUCAUUGGGCGUAAAGCGCGUGUAGGCGGUUCCGUAAGUCCGCUCUGAAAGCCCAGGGCUCAACCCUGGGAGGCGGGUGGAUACUACGGAACUGGAGUACGGAAGAGGAGAUUGGAAUUCCUGGUGUAGCGGUGAAAUGCGCAGAUAUCAGGAGGAACACCAACAGCGAAGGCAGAUCUCUGGGACGUUACUGACGCUGAGACGCGAAAGCGUGGGGAGCAAACAGG